Long non-coding RNA from Monodelphis domestica (gray short-tailed opossum), 1253 nucleotides. RefSeq lists it as uncharacterized. Lineage: Eukaryota; Metazoa; Chordata; Mammalia; Didelphimorphia; Didelphidae. The record is from RefSeq and is a predicted model, not a curated record.
GUUUCUGGAGAGAUGAUGAGUCCUGUGGACCCAAGUGGAAGGUGAAUCCUGUCACUGUCACCCUCUGCUCUCAUAUGGAGCAUCCUUAUUCUGUAGAAAUGCACCUCGAUAAAGUACCCCAGAACAGCCUUUGAACAUACCAAAGUAGUUGCUCAAUCAAUACUUGCUGAAAUGAAGAUAAAAAGAGAAGAUGGACCAAACAAAACCGAAGCUAUGAAAUCCUGGAAUUUAGCAGAUUUCUGCAAAGUUGACAUUCAUCAGAUCUCAUCUGAGUCACCAAGUUGUCAGCUGCUCUGAGAAGUCCUGAAGUCUGUGGAAAAACAACCCCAAACAUUGGCACCAUCUGUAGAAGAGGCUUCACUCUUAAGAUUCUCUAUUUGUACUCAUUAAGUCAUUACCUGAUAAAGCCAGACUUGUUUCUUUUUAAAUAAUCUGCAAAAUAGGCUAUAAAAUGCAUGUUUGUAAACUCAUCACAGGCUGCAUUCCAAUUGACUGUUAGAGAGGUUUUUAAGAUCCCAUUCUUAUUGUAUAGUGACUAUUAAAUAGAAAGUUUUCUCCUAUUAGACAAUCUGCCAAAAACUGUCAUUUAAUCUAAUAAUGUAGCAGGAAUCUGAAUAUCAUUUAAGUGACUUAUUAUUUCUCCUCUUCACUCCAUCCCCAGUUUUCCAGAAUCUUACUUUUAUUUGAAAUACCUCAAUAUGUCAGGCAUAUGAGUUAAUCCACCUGGGAACUUUCUUAUAGAAAUAUCUGCUUUAUGGCAGAACUGAUCAUGACUAAAGUCCAUUUGGGAUCAUCAUAAUUACCAAAGUACUAAAAAAGACCUCCAUAUAAAACUGGAUCUAGAAGACAGCAUUUAUAGAAUUUCAAUUAAAUAUAUACAUUUAACCCAACAAAACUUUAUUAAAUAAACAUGUUAUAGAUGUGUUCGGAGAAGAAGAAACAACUUCAUAAAAUUAAGACAUUUAUAAAAUUCCUUAAAAUUUUCAAAAUAUUUUACUUUCCUUAUAUAAUUUAAGGUUCAUAAUGAUUAUGGAAGUCAGGUGAAACAGUGGAUAGAGUACAGGAAUUUGGAAUUAGGGAGAUCUGAGUCCAAAACCUGCUUCAGUCACUUACUGACUCUGUGAACUUGGAUGAGUCACAUAACCCCAUGCAUGCCUCAAUUUUCUCAUCUGUAAAAUGAAAAUAAUAAUAAAACUUACCUCAUAGAGUAAUUAUGUGGGUCCAAUGAGAUAAUAAAUGUAAAAUGCUUUGCA